CCUACGGGAGGCAGCAGUAGGGAAUAUUGCUCAAUGGGGGUAACCCUGAAGCAGCAACGCCGCGUGGAGGAUGAAGGUUCUCGGAUUGUUAACCCUCUUUGAUAGAGAAGAUAAUGGCGGUACGUGUCGAAUAAGCACCGGCUAAAUCCGUGCAAGCAGCGUCGGCAAUACGGAGGGUGCAAGCGUUACUCGGAAUCACUGGGCGUAAAGAGCGCGUAGGCGGGAUAGCAAGUCAGAUGUGAAAUCCUAUGGUUUAACCAUAGAACUGCAGUUGAAACUGUUAUGCUAGAGUAUGGGAGAGGUAGGUGGAAUGCUUGGUGUAGGGGUGAAAUCCGUAGAGAUCAAGAAGAAUCCUGAUUGCGAAGGCAGCCUGCUAGAACAUAACUGACGCUGAUGCGCGAAAGCGUGGGGAGCAAACAGGAUUAGAUACCCGAGUAGUC
RNAcentral lists this ribosomal RNA (440 nucleotides) under uncultured bacterium. RNAcentral's name for it is "partial 16S ribosomal RNA". It matches the Rfam family "Bacterial small subunit ribosomal RNA", at positions 338 to 795 of the family's 1533-position model. The record is from RNAcentral.